CAGAGUUCAUGCCCUUCGGGGUAGAUCUCCCACCCGUGUAUUUAUACCUUUGUUGCUUUGGCAGGCCUGCCUCAACCACCGGCUCCGGCUGGUGAGCGCCUGCCAGAGGACCCCAAACUCUGAAUUUAAUGUCGUCUGAGUACUAUAUAAUAGUUA
Molecule: unclassified non-coding RNA, 156 nt
Filed under: uncultured Helotiales
Lineage: Eukaryota; Fungi; Ascomycota; Leotiomycetes; Helotiales
Source: RNAcentral